GUAGGGAAUAUUGGGCAAUGGAUGCAAGUCUGACCCAGCCAUCCCGCGUGCCGGAAGAAGGCCCUCAGGGUUGUAAACGGCUUUUGACGGUGAAGAAUCGACAGGAUGCGUCCUGUUUUGACGGUAGCCGUUGAAUAAGCACCGGCUAACUCCGUGCCAGCAGCCGCGGUAAUACGGAGGGUGCGAGCGUUGUCCGGAUUUAUUGGGUUUAAAGGGUGCGUAGGCUGGAAGGUCAGUCAGCGGUGAAAAGCUGUCGCUUAACGAUAGUCUUGCCGCAGAUACUUCCUUUCUUGGAUGAGGAGGAGGCCACUGGAACGGAUGGUGUAGCGGUGAAAUGCAUAGAUAUCAUCCAGAACACCGAUUGCGAAGGCAGGUGGCUGCACCUUAAUCGACGCUGAUGCACGAAAGCAUGGGGAGCAAACAGGAUUAGAAACCCCUGUAGUCC
RNAcentral lists this ribosomal RNA (445 nucleotides) under uncultured bacterium. RNAcentral describes it as "partial 16S ribosomal RNA". It matches the Rfam family "Bacterial small subunit ribosomal RNA", at positions 354 to 796 of the family's 1533-position model. The record is from RNAcentral.